This is a long non-coding RNA of Brassica napus (rape), 1035 nucleotides long. RefSeq lists it as uncharacterized. The transcript has 2 exons. NCBI's taxonomy places the organism in Eukaryota, Viridiplantae, Streptophyta, Magnoliopsida, Brassicales, Brassicaceae. The record is from RefSeq and is a predicted model, not a curated record.
AAUGGUAGUUUUUUUUUUUUUUUUUUUUUGCAGUUGUUUAAAAUUAGGGCCGCUGAUAUUCGAUGCUAUUUUGUUUUUGUUUUUGUUUUUUAUAAUCAGUCUGUUUUAAAAUUGGGUAUCAAAUAUGCAGCUCCUUUUUGUAGUGACCCUUAAAUCAGCGGGUUCUAUUAUCAGCAAAUAAUGUGUGUUUAACAUUCUUUACUCUCGCUCCCUGUUGUGCUUGUGAUUCGUGAUUCAUGAAUCCAGCAUGUUAAGUUGUCCGACUUCAUUUACUUAACUCUUCAGGUGAUGCAUAUAAUGUAAGGUUUGACAUUUCUUUGUGACUAUACACACUUCCAUCUAAAUUUGUUCUAGCUUGAUAACUAGAUGGAGGUUGUCAACUAGUUUGCGAUGAUGAGUAAAUGGCUGCGUAGAUGACCAUUCUAAUCAGUGUCAAACACUAUAAUAGCAACUUGUCAAUUUAGAGUCUCUUUCGUGUCACAUAAUAAGCUUCUUUGGAUGUAAAAGCUUUCGACGUGGUUCUCUAAAGUCUUUCUUGUAACCAGAGCCUUACAGAUGACUCCCUGCACUCUUAAUAUUUUCCUUGUAUCUCUUAGAAGAAAGUUCAAGGUCAACACCCCUCUCUUUGUUUUGCUAACACUAGAAGGAUUCCCCAAAAGGCGUUGCUCUGCAAAAAUGGAGAAAGAAAUAGACGAACCACCUAUCAAAUGUGGGUGUUGAACCAAACAAUGGUGUCUUAGUUCCUUUUGUAUAAGUAUUUGACACAGUGUUAGUUUUCAUCCCACUGCUUUGUAUUUUGGUACUUGUGAUUGGCAACAUCAGUGGUGGUGCCUAGCUAGGUAAUAAUAACUUCUUUGUGUUUAAAUUUUUCAUGAAUUGGGAUGAAAUUAAAAAGCAGACAAGAAGAAGCCUUGUACCAUGUGGGUUGUUUUGGCCACUAGAAUAUAUGAAUUUUGUUUCUCCUUUUCACUUUAUUUAUGUCUCUGUUUAAUUGACAAGUUGGGUUUAAAAGCGUUUUAAUGAUUUUUUAUUCUA